Molecule: long non-coding RNA, 558 nt
Filed under: Pongo abelii (Sumatran orangutan)
Lineage: Eukaryota; Metazoa; Chordata; Mammalia; Primates; Hominidae
Description: lincRNA
Source: RNAcentral
CAGUCAGUCCCAAAGAUUCUGAGGAAGAGAAGGCAACAUUGCAGGAUGAGCUUUUCUCCCCUUUUGUCCCCAAAACUUGGGCCAGGACGUUUCCUCAUGAUUAAUUUCAGACCAUGCAUCUUUGGCAAGAGUUUCACAGAAACUUCUCAUCGCAUCCUAUCAGGCGGCACACGAUUCUGUUUUGUCUGGGAAUGAGGGAUGCUGACUUUGAUCACUUGCUUGCGGUCGUGUCUGCCAGGCAUCUCCACCAUUAAGCUCUCUUUUCCUCUUUCCUGCGCUGGGCUGUCCUCUGCCUUAAGGCAGAAGCCCUCCCAACUCCUUAGGUCUCCACACUCCAUGCUCAUUGUCUCAUGCUGCCCAAGCUCCUCAUCCCCGUGGAGCCUCACACACCAUGCCGGGUUUAGCCCUGGCCACCCUCUCAUGCCUCUGUCACAGCCUCAGCCUCGAUAUACUGUUGGUCUCCAACACCUCCGUGGGCCACUGCAUCUCCCCUCUGCUCUGGCACAGGUGCCUGCUCUUCUAGGUCUCCCUAAUGGUUUGUGGAUUGAAUAGUUUAAG